AGAGUUUGAUCCUGGCUCAGAAUCAACGCUGGCGGCGUGCCUCAGACAGGCAAGUCGAACGCGAAAGCCCCCUUCGGGGGGCAAGUAGAGUGGCGCACGGGUGAGUAACACGUAGGUAAUCUACCUUUGGAUGGGGAAUAACCACCGGAAACGGUGGCUAAUACCGCAUAAUGCAGCGGCACCUAAUGGUGACAGUUGUUAAAGCGGGGGAUCGCAAGACCUCGCGUCUGAAGAGGAGCCUGCGGCAGAUUAGCUAGUUGGUGGGGUAAUGGCCCACCAAGGCGACGAUCGGUAGCCGGCCUGAGAGGGCGGUCGGCCACACUGACACUGACAUACGGGUCAGACUCCUACGGGAGGCAGCAGUCGGGAAUUUUGGGCAAUGGGCGAAAGCCUGACCCAGCAACGCCGCGUGAAGGAUGAAAUCCCUCGGGAUGUAAACUUCGCAAGAACGGGAAGAAUAAGCCGGUGCCAAUAACACCGGCGAUGACGGUACUGUUUGUAAGCUCCGGCUAACUCCGUGCCAGCAGCCGCGGUAAUACGGGGGGAGCAAGCGUUGUUCGGAUUUACUGGGCGUAAAGGGCGCGUAGGCGGCCACCGCAAGUCGACUGUGAAAUCUCCGGGCUUAACUCGGAAAGGUCAGCCGAUACUGCGGGGCUAGAGUGCAGAAGGGGCAACUGGAAUUCUCGGUGUAGCGGUGAAAUGCGUAGAUAUCGAGAGGAACACCUGCGGCGAAGGCGGGUUGCUGGGCUGACACUGACGCUGAGGCGCGAAAGCUAGGGGAGCGAACGGGAUUAGAUACCCCAGUAGUCC
This 810-nucleotide ribosomal RNA is filed under the name uncultured Acidobacteriota bacterium. RNAcentral describes it as "bacterial SSU rRNA". It matches the Rfam family "Bacterial small subunit ribosomal RNA", at positions 8 to 796 of the family's 1533-position model. The record is from RNAcentral. Lineage: Bacteria; Pseudomonadati; Acidobacteriota.